UACGUAGGUGGCAAGCGUUGUCCGGAAUUAUUGGGCGUAAAGCGCGCGCAGGCGGUUCCUUAAGUCUGUCGUGAAAGCCCCGGGCUCAACCUGGGAAUGGCGAUGGAUACUGGCGGGCUAGAGUGCGGUAGAGGAGAGUGGAAUUCCCGGUGUAGCAGUGAAAUGCGUAGAGAUCGGGAGGAACAUCAGUUGCGAAGGCGGCUCUCUGGACCAGCACUGACACUGAGGCACGAAAGCGUGGGGAGCAAACAGG
Molecule: ribosomal RNA, 253 nt
Filed under: uncultured bacterium
Lineage: Bacteria
Description: partial 16S ribosomal RNA
Rfam family: Bacterial small subunit ribosomal RNA
Source: RNAcentral